This 457-nucleotide ribosomal RNA is filed under the name uncultured bacterium. RNAcentral describes it as "partial 16S ribosomal RNA". It matches the Rfam family "Bacterial small subunit ribosomal RNA", at positions 28 to 523 of the family's 1533-position model. The record is from RNAcentral.
GAUGAACGCUGGCGGCGUGCCUAAUACAUGCAAGUCGAGCGGUAAGGCCCUUCGGGGUACACGAGCGGCGGACGGGUGAGUAACGCGUAAGAAUCUACCCCAAACUGAGGGAUAAGCACCAGAAAUGGUGUCUAAUACCGCAUGUGCUCUACGGAGUAAAGCUACGGCGGUUUGGGAAGAGCCUGCGUAUGAUUAGCUAGUUGGUAAGGUAAUGGCGUACCAAGGCGACGAUCAUUAGCUGGUCUGAGAGGAUGAUCAGCCACACUGGGACUGAGACACGGCCCAGACUCCUACGGGAGGCAGCAGUAGGGAAUUUUCCACAAUGGGGGCAACCCUGAUGGAGCAACGCCGCGUGCAGGAUGAAGGCCUUCGGGUUGUAAACUGCUUUUGUCUGUGACGAAUAUGACGGUAGCAGACGAAUAAGGAUCGGCUAACUACGUGCCAGCAGCCGCCGUAA